Mesocricetus auratus (golden hamster) is the source of this 434-nucleotide long non-coding RNA. RefSeq lists it as uncharacterized. The record is from RefSeq and is a predicted model, not a curated record. The transcript has 2 exons. Lineage: Eukaryota; Metazoa; Chordata; Mammalia; Rodentia; Cricetidae.
AGCCCUGCUUACAGCAGCAGUUCUCAGCCCUGGGCUCCCUUUAAAAUCAUCAGAGGAGCUUUAAAAAACCCUGUCUCCCAGUCUUUACCUUCAAACAGCGAUGCCAGAUCUGGGGCCAGAGCCCCAGCAACAUUUAAGGUCUCCAAGGAAUUUUAAUGUGCAACAAAGCUGGAUCAUCUUCUCAAAAGUACAUGAAAAAUAUAUGACUGCCCUGGGCAAGAUAGCAGAAGGUGCUGAAACACAGAACAAAGAGUUGCUCAUGCCUCCUGCCGGCUCUAGUGAGAUGGCCUGGCUGACAGCCCUGGUUUGUGAUCAGUCUGUCUCCCCACUCAUGUUUCCAGCCCUAAUUCAUGAUUUAUAAAUUCCCCUUUCCUUGAUCCUCAAACUUUCCUCCGUCCUCAUUCUCAAUCUGUGCAAAUAAAAGUUCAAAACUG